Molecule: long non-coding RNA, 1452 nt
Organism: Oreochromis aureus
Lineage: Eukaryota; Metazoa; Chordata; Actinopteri; Cichliformes; Cichlidae
Source: Ensembl
AGGAGACCUGAUUGGCGGGGAGUCUCUGUUUAAUUUUAGGAUUGCAGCGAGUCAAUCCAGUCAAAAGUAUAGAGAACUAUUUUCCUAAAAAGGAAAACGAAAUAAAACAAAUGAUUGAGCUCAUUUUGCUGAUGUGGAGCAUCUGAUGACGUGUGCAGAAGGCUGCAGUAUCAGCAAAAAGAUCGUGUGUGAAUGCAAGUGGGGAAAUAAAUGAAAGGACAAGUGGGAGACUUAAAUCUGGGGAUGCUGAUUUUGGGAUGUUGAUGUUUACUUUGAGGUAAUUAUUUACUGGGGUUGGAUUAUGUUAUUACAUUAUAGAAUGCUAAAUGCUAAAAGGGAAACGUUGUUUGAUGAAAUUCAAGUUACCAUUAACUGGGGUAACUCAUGAUUAAUAACUGUUCUGGUUAUGUUUAUUUUUGUUAUGACAUAGACGGGAUCAAAAAGGGAGAGUUGAGUAUGAAAUGUAAACUACAGGUUUUGUUUCCAGGAAAUUCCAAGGAUCCAGAGUUCGAUGGAGCAACGAGUUUGAGAAGAUUUGACAUGAUGAUUAAAUUGAUUUUGUUCCUUAAACACAGGUUUUCAGGGCUGGAGCUAAAUACCGGAGAGGGGAAUGGCUGAAGGGUUCUGAGAAAUGAUAUGACUAACCUUUUUUCCCUUUUAAUUUCCUAAGCUUGGGUGAAGCAUGUUGAGUUUUUUGCCACAUGAGAUGUGUCAAAAAAGAGAGGGAUUUAAGAUUUAAUUUGUUUAAUUUGAAAUGGGUUUUAGUAUGAUUUUAACUAUUGGGGUUUUUGAUAACUUAGAUAUAGUAAAACUGAGGCAGAAAAUGUUAUUUUUUAAAGAAAGGAGUAAAAUGAACUGAAGUCGGUUUAGAAGAUAAAAUGCUGGUGUUCAUACGCUGCUGUAUAUAAAACUUAAAGGGAAACUGUGGGAAUAUAGGAUAUGCUUUGGGGAAAACAGGGAAGAUUUUCUUUUGUGAAGAGUUUUUCUUCUGACUUUUAGAAUAAGCUGUUAUAUGGUAGGCUUUAGAAACAGAUAGUAAAUGGAUUUAUUUCUAGGAUAAAGGAGAGCUUUUGAUGAGGAUGUUAGAAGUGUUACUGACCCAAAUGAAUAGUAUUGAAGAUUAUAUACACAGGAAUGAUUUCAUACACAUUGCAUUUUGUGCUUAUUAAAGAAAUGUUGCUCAAGUCAAUAACUGAAGGUCAGAAGCUUUGUUCGGCGCGAUGUCCGAGCAAUUUAUUGUGCAAGAUGACCUGAGCAUUGAAGUCUGCGCACGCUUACAGACAUAUAGAGUUCAUCAACACACAGGACAGUAUUGAUUUGAGGCCAAAGGCCUGAAAUCCCUUUAGCUUUUAACUGAAUUUGAGUUGACCCAAUAACAAAUGACAGAAAAGAGGAACUGAAUAGGAGUUUUGCUGGUAAUUAAACUGUGUGACAUGUAAAAUAUUGAGAAAA